Molecule: ribosomal RNA, 454 nt
Filed under: uncultured bacterium
Lineage: Bacteria
Description: bacterial SSU rRNA
Rfam family: Bacterial small subunit ribosomal RNA
Source: RNAcentral
GAGCGAGAACCAGUCCUUCGGGACUGGGGACAGCGGCGAACGGGUGAGUAACACGUGAGUCAUCCACCCUCGGUACCGGAAUAGCCCGGGGAAACCCGGAUUAAUGCCGGAUGGCCCAUCUGCCCUUCGGGGCGGCUGGAUAAGGUAGCUUCGGCCUCCGACCGAGGACGAGCUCGCGGCGGAUUAGCUUGUUGGCGGGGUAACGGCCCGCCAAGGCGACGAUCCGUAGCUGGUCUGAGAGGACGAUCAGCCACACUGGGACUGAGACACGGCCCAGACUCCUACGGGAGGCAGCAGUGGGGAAUAUUGCACAAUGGGCGAAAGCCUGAUGCAGCGACGCCGCGUGAGGGAUGAAGGCCUUCGGGUUGUAAACCUCUUUCAGCAGGGAAGAAGCGCAAGUGACGGUAUCUGCAGAAGAAGCACCGUCUAACUACGUGCCAGCAGCCGCGGUAAU